ACACACAUACACACACAUACAAACUUUCACCUUUAUAAUAUUAGUGUGACUAUGUUAAAAGAAUUGUUUUGACUGACUGACUGAUCUAGCAACACAGCGCGCUGGGAUAAGAAACUUGUGUCAGAAAGUUGUAUGAUGUACAUAGGUACCCACUAUGAAAAGAAUUUUGGAAAUUCCAUCCCUAAGGCACUUAAAUAGAAGGUGAAAGUCCGUCAUUUUCAAGUUAUAUCCAUGAAUAUUGAUUGGUAUUUGGGCUUUUCGGUCAAAAAUGAAAAGUCCCUGUUUUAGAAUUUUUGGAAAUUCCUUGCCCCACGCCGAUUUUCCGAAAUUCCACGCAAGCACAGCUGGGGCAGGUAAGCUCGUUUCAAAUAAUUUUCUUCUGUUUCCUUUUCUUCUCUUAAACCAACUGAACAGAUUUUGAUGAAAACGGACUCAGAUAUUACAGAUUGUCUUGUGCGUUAAAAUAUAUAGCGCAUGAUUGCUAUUUUUAAUAAUUUAUAUUUGGUGAUUUUAUAAAUGAAGUGAUAUAAUCAUUAUUUCAUAAAUGAUUUUAUGUAGAUUUGCAUGCAGUUUAUAUGACAUGCAUUAAUUUAUUAUUAGAUACAUUUUGAUUUUUCACGAAAAGUGAUUAUUCCAAUUUUCAUACUUACAAUCAUUUACUACAUUAAUUUAACUAGAUGUUUUCCCCCUAUCUCAACGCACGCAUGCGAGUUAGACACACUCGCUCGCACACUCUUUAGCGUCUCAGAUCGGAUCGAUGACCAUAAGAUAAUGCGGGAUUUAAAUGUCAUAAUUUUUUCUUCGUGAUUAUUCUUAGCCAUUUUAGAUAGCAAGUGUUGUCAUAUGAAAAGGCUAUUCAUGUGAUUUUUCACAUGUUACCUGUGAAAUCGUCCAUCUCAAGAAAAAGAGCUCACUGUAUUGAUUUUGAAUGAUUUUAUUGUAUGAAAAUUAAGACUGCUCUGAGUUAUAAAUGAAUAAUUAUAUUAUUUGACUGUAUAUUCAUAGAAAUAUACGCGUAUUAUUAAUUUAUUUUUAUGAUGAUAUUUAUAAUUUUAUUCAAAAUUUAGGCGUUGUUUUAUAAAGGCGUUUUUUUAAAUAAAAAAUAUGUGACUGAAAAUAUUUUUAUCCAUCAUAAUGAUAAAUCACGGGCACUGGUCAUUUACUGAAAAUUAUUUGGAGGAAUAUCAAAAGUAGCUAUGUAAAAAAACUAGUUACAAAUUAAAUUAUCAUUUUCUAUUUUAAAAUCAUGCCUCUAUGAAACAAAGUCUAAAAAAUCACGCACACUUUGAUUUAAGUUGUUACAAAUCGCAUGUUGUAAAGGGCGGCCGCACAACCGCUCAGUGUGCGAUCGCCCUAAAUCAAGUGACUACGUCACGUUGUAAUAUAGCCGAUUACUGCGGUAAUCAAGUAGGCUAGGAGCAGCCGGACUGUUGUCUCGAAGCGUUUAUACAGAACCGAAUUUUACAUAAUAUAAACUUUGUGUACAAACUAGAUUCCUCGCUUUAGUUCUAAAUUGCUACUUUGCUAAAGUUAUAAACAAAAUUGACAGAAUUAAAUUAAAUUUUCUCACGUUUGUGUAUUUUUGUGUAUAACUUUAAAUGAAGUGUAAUUAUUUUUUUUACCACCGAAUUGACCACAAUGGUUACUAAUUUGAAGUUUUUCGAAUGUAGGUACUUAAGUUAUAAAGACUAUCGGACUCAAUAUGAAAAAAGACGAACAGGUUUAACUUAAAAACGAAUUGACGGUUUUUGCAGUGAAUAGACACCUUCUAGGUAAACGCGUCCCAUCUUAGACCACAUCAUCACUUUCCAUCAGGUGUGAUUGUGGUCAAGCGCUUACCUGUGCAAGCAAGUGAAUAAAAAUAAAUUAAAAAAAAAAAAUUUGCAUAAGAAAUCUGUGUCAAAAUAAACACGCGCUAAACACUUGUUUAAAUGUGUUUUUAAGUAAAAAUGCUUUUUACUUAUUGCAAUCUGUAAUAACUAAAAAUUAGCUAUUCUAUUAGCUUUAGCUAUUAUAGUAUAUUUGAUACCCCUUUCUUAAUCCGAACCGCUAGGAUAUGGAACACCCUACUGGCAUCAGUUUUCCCAUCCACUUUUAAUAUGGGAACCUUCAGGUCAAGAGUGAAUAGGCAACUUCUAGGCAAGCGCGCUCCACCUUAGGCUGCAUCAUCACUUGCUAGCAGGUGUAAUUGCAGCCAAGCGCUAGUCUGUAAUCUAAAAAAAUAUUAAUUUGAAAAAAUUUGACUGUAUAAACACAUUAAACAAAUAGUUCGCCAGCUCCCGGUCUAAAGAAUUUAUUUAGUAUAGAAGGAUGCUAGCUUGCAUGGAUUAUACAUAAUUAUAAAUAAAUGAAAGGAUAAUUUUAAUUAAUUAUUAAUUAAUUAAUUAAUGUGUAGUAUUUAAGAUAGUUGAUAAAAUAGAUUCCCGGAUAUGUAUGUAGAUUGUUGGAACUUUUAUUUUAUUUUAUAUGUAUAAUAAUACUAAAUGAUACCCGUGACUUCGUCCGCGUGGAUUCUGGCAUAAAAUGUAGCCUAUGUGUUAAAUCAGGCUAUACCAUUUCAAACAGCCAAAUCGGUUCAGUCAUUGUGGCGUAAAGGAGUAACAAACUCACACACAUACAAACUUUCGCCUUUCUAGCCUAAUAUUAUAAACAGGUAAAGUUAGUAAGUUUGUUGGUAGGAAGAAAUCUCUGCAACUACUGAACCGAUUUUGAAAAUUCUUUCACCAGUAGAAAGCUACAUUAUUCCUGAGUGGCAUAGGCUAUAUUUUAUUUUCAAAAUAUUAGGGAUCCUUACGGAAAUUGUAAUAAGCUACCCGUACGAAGCCGGGGCGUGUCGCUAGUGUAAUAUAAGCGUGAUUUCUAGCUCUGUCUAAGUACAAAUUGUACGUUCAAAAAAUAUCGGGAGAUUCUUUGUUACAAAAAUUAAAAUGAACUAUGUAUUUGUGUUUUCCUAAUAAAAGUGUAGUGUA
Maniola jurtina (meadow brown) is the source of this 2969-nucleotide long non-coding RNA. RefSeq lists it as uncharacterized. Lineage: Eukaryota; Metazoa; Arthropoda; Insecta; Lepidoptera; Nymphalidae. The record is from RefSeq and is a predicted model, not a curated record. The transcript is spliced from 2 exons.